CGUAGUCGAAAUGCGUGUUCUGGCGCGAAGAGUAUCCCAAGUAGCACGGGGCCCGAGAAAUCCCGUGUGAAUCUGUCAGGACCACCUGAUAAGCCUAAAUACUCCCAGAUGACCGAUAGCGGACAAGUACCGUGAGGGAAAGGUGAAAAGUACCCCGGGAGGGGAGUGAAAUAGUACCUGAAACCGUGCGCUUACAAUCCGUUAGAGCAUGACCCUUGUGGUUGUGUGAUGGCGUGCCUUUUGAAGAAUGAGCCUGCGAGUUAGUGAUAUGUGGCGAGGUUAACCCGUGUGGGGUAGCCGUAGCGAAAGCGAGUCUUAAUAGGGCGAUCGAGUCGCAUGUU
RNAcentral lists this ribosomal RNA (341 nucleotides) under Conticribra weissflogii. RNAcentral's name for it is "partial Bacterial large subunit ribosomal RNA". It matches the Rfam family "Bacterial large subunit ribosomal RNA", at positions 374 to 708 of the family's 2925-position model. Lineage: Eukaryota; Bacillariophyta; Thalassiosirophyceae; Thalassiosirales; Thalassiosiraceae. The record is from RNAcentral.